RNAcentral lists this ribosomal RNA (232 nucleotides) under Labrys sp. ISOM291_OTU745. RNAcentral describes it as "partial 16S ribosomal RNA". It matches the Rfam family "Bacterial small subunit ribosomal RNA", at positions 29 to 289 of the family's 1533-position model. Lineage: Bacteria; Pseudomonadati; Pseudomonadota; Alphaproteobacteria; Hyphomicrobiales; Xanthobacteraceae. The record is from RNAcentral.
ACGAACGCUGGCGGCAGGCUUAACACAUGCAAGUCGAGCGCAUCCUUCGGGGUGAGCGGCAGACGGGUGAGUAACGCGUGGGGAUAUGCCCAGAGGUGGGGAAUAACUGUGGGAAACUACAGCUAAUACCGCAUAAGCCCGAAAGGGGAAAGAUUUAUUGCCUUUGGAUUAACCCGCGUCAGAUUAGCUAGUUGGUAGGGUAAUGGCCUACCAAGGCGACGAUCUGUAGCUG